RNAcentral lists this ribosomal RNA (301 nucleotides) under uncultured bacterium. RNAcentral's name for it is "partial 16S ribosomal RNA". It matches the Rfam family "Bacterial small subunit ribosomal RNA", at positions 509 to 809 of the family's 1533-position model. The record is from RNAcentral.
CAGUCGCCGCGGGAAUACGAAGGGUGCAAGCGUUAAUCGGAAUUACUGGGCGUAAAGCGCGCGUAGGUGGUUUGGUAAGAUGGAUGUGAAAUCCCCGGGCUCAACCUGGGAACUGCAUCCUUAACUGCCUGACUAGAGUACGGUAGAGGGUGGUGGAAUUUCCUGUGUAGCGGUGAAAUGCGUAGAUAUAGGAAGGAACACCAGUGGCGAAGGCGACCACCUGGACUGAUACUGACACUGAGGUGCGAAAGCGUGGGGAGCAAACAGGAUUAGAUACCCGCGUAGUCCCUGUCUCUUAUAU